Molecule: ribosomal RNA, 458 nt
Filed under: uncultured bacterium
Lineage: Bacteria
Description: partial 16S ribosomal RNA
Rfam family: Bacterial small subunit ribosomal RNA
Source: RNAcentral
CCUACGGGUGGCAGCAGUAGGGAAUAUUGCUCAAUGGGGGAAACCCUGAAGCAGCAACGCCGCGUGGAGGAUGAAGGUUUUCGGAUUGUAAACCUCUUUUGUCAGGGAACAAAGGCGGGGACUAGUCCCCGGAUGAGGGUACCUGAAGAAAAAGCAUCGGCUAACUCCGUGCCAGCAGCCGCGGUAAUACGGAGGAUGCGAGCGUUAGCCGGUUUUAUUGGGUUAAAAGGGUGCGCAGGCGGCCUGUUAAGUCAGCGGUAAAAGCCCGGGGCUCAACCCCGGCGAGCCGUGGAAACUGGCGGGCUGGAGUUGGAGAGAAGUACGCGGAAUGCGCGGUGUAGCGGUGAAAUGCUUAGAUAUCGCGCAGAACCCCGAUUGCGAAGGCAGCGUACCGGCUCCACACUGACGCUGAGGCACGAAAGCGUGGGUAUCGAACAGGAUUAGAUACCCGAGUAGUC